This 399-nucleotide ribosomal RNA is filed under the name uncultured bacterium. RNAcentral describes it as "bacterial SSU rRNA". It matches the Rfam family "Bacterial small subunit ribosomal RNA", at positions 28 to 429 of the family's 1533-position model. The record is from RNAcentral.
GACGAACGCUGGCGGCGUGCUUAACACAUGCAAGUCGAGCGGUAAGGCCCUUUCGGGGGUACACGAGCGGCGAACGGGUGAGUAACACGUGGGUGACCUGCCCUCAGCUCUGGGAUAAGCCUGGGAAACCGGGUCUAAUACUGGAUAUGACUCCAUGACGCAUGUUGUGGGGUGGAAAGCCUUGUGCGGCUGAGGAUGGGCCCGCGGCCUAUCAGCUUGUUGGUGGGGUGANGGCCUACCAAGGCGACGACGGGUAGCCGGCCUGAGAGGGCGACCGGCCACACUGGGACUGAGACACGGCCCAGACUCCUACGGGAGGGCAGCAGUGGGGAAUCUUGCGCAAUGGGCGAAAGCCUGACGCAGCGACGCCGCGUGAGGGAUGACGGCCUCGGUUGUAAC